This is a long non-coding RNA of Hibiscus syriacus, 473 nucleotides long. RefSeq lists it as uncharacterized. The transcript is spliced from 3 exons. NCBI's taxonomy places the organism in Eukaryota, Viridiplantae, Streptophyta, Magnoliopsida, Malvales, Malvaceae. The record is from RefSeq and is a predicted model, not a curated record.
UCAAAUUCCAUUUCUGCUAAGCCUAAGAUGUGUGCCGUUUUGCUCUUCAUUUCUCUCUUUCAACACAAACGCUACUCUCUUCUUCUAUUUCCUUUCAUGGCCGAUUGCAACCCUUAGCCACCAUGGCCGGCGAUUGAAGGAAUCAUAAAAACGAUUCAAACGAUUACAACACGAACCCCCUCAACUAUCUAACUCGACUGAAAACCAAAACCCACAACUCCAUGCUCCUUACUCCGGCGAUGAAACCAAAUUAAGGUCUCUCGAACAAAUCUCAAGGAUUCAGUCUUAAGCUACGGUGGUUCAACACGCUCUCGUGAUGACCCAUGGUGGCUUGGUGGAAGCUGGAAGCUGUCGGUUUGGUGCUCUGUGGCUGAGAUUUGUAAAGCCUGUAAUAAAUAAAAAUAAACAAUAUUAAUAAUAUAAUAAUAAUAAUUAUUAUAUCCGGACAAAACGGGUGUCAACAAAGCAUAUCA